CCGCCUCUCCGUUCGCGGUUCAGGCCUGUCGCGCAACUUCCAUCUGCGCGGCAUCCAGCUCUACAUGGACGGCAUUCCGAUCAACACGUCCGACGGCUAUGGCGACUUCCAGGAGAUCGACCCGACCGCCUACAAAUAUGUCGAGGUCUACAAGGGCGCGAAUGCCUUGCAGUUCGGCGCGAACUCGCUCGGCGGCGCGAUCAACUUCGUGACGCCGACAGGCC
This 224-nucleotide unclassified non-coding RNA is filed under the name Hevea brasiliensis (rubber tree). The record is from RNAcentral. Lineage: Eukaryota; Viridiplantae; Streptophyta; Magnoliopsida; Malpighiales; Euphorbiaceae.